Molecule: non-coding RNA, 2945 nt
Organism: Salvia hispanica
Lineage: Eukaryota; Viridiplantae; Streptophyta; Magnoliopsida; Lamiales; Lamiaceae
Source: RefSeq, a predicted model, not a curated record
AAUUGUCAUCAAACAAUUUCUAGAUUAUUGGUGAUCAUAACUUAGUCGUGCUUCACUUUCUUCAUUUAUCUUUCAAAUCGUGUGGCCUAUUUAAAUCGUUACUCUUGAGACAUUGGAGUAUCCCCCAAUUAUACAUCACUUCUGAUAAAAGAAUAUAGAGAGAAUGGGUUCUGAUAAAAAAAUAGCAAUCAAAUUUCUUAUUUUCGUUCAAGUCUGCAUGUUUGUUUCAGGAGAUGCAAAAGUGAGAUGCUUGGAGAGGGAGAGAGAAGCUCUUAUAAGCUUCAAGAAAGGACUCAUUGAUGACUAUGGCUAUCUCUCGUCAUGGCAAAGUGACGAAUGCUGCAAAUGGUAUGGUGUUCGGUGCAGCAACACCACUGGCCAUGUCAUCGCCCUCCAACUAAAUUUUGCUGAUUAUGGUGGUAAAUUGCGAGGUGAGGUUGGUUCUUCUUUGCUUGAGUUGCAUCAUUUAAACUAUCUUGAUCUCGGUUCGAAUGAUUUUGGAGGCAACCCAAUCCCAAAAUUCAUUGGUUCCAUGAAACAGUUACAACACUUGUAUCUGGGUCGUUCUAACUUUUCCGGGAUUGUUCCUCCUCAGAUAGGCAACCUCACCAAUCUGCAAUCUCUUUCUCUAUCAUUUAACUCUCUUCGGAUGGAGAAUCUUGAUUGGCUUUCAAGUCUCUCUCUGUUAUCUUAUCUUGGUUUAAGUCAAAUCGACUUAAGCCAUACAAAUUGGCUCCAACAUAUCCUAAGUCUUCGUUCCCUCGAUAAAUUGUACUUGAACCUUUGUAACAUGAACGAUGCUGAACCUUCUGUUAAUUCUUCUUCUAUAUCUCUUUCUGUCAUUAGUAUGUAUAGUAAUAAUCUCACUUCUUCCUCGUUCCGUUGGUUAUCUAACAUAAGCACAAAUCUAGUGCAUAUGGACAUUUCGGGCAAUGCUUUAGAUGGCCCAAUUCCUGAUUCAUUCAUAGAGAGAUUAGUUCUUAUUGAAGAUCUUUAUCUUUCUGGUAACAAGCUUGAAGGUCAAAUCCCAAAAUCUUUGUCCAAUCUAGGUCAUUUGCGCGCCUUACUUCUUUAUGGUAAUGGCUUUAAGGGAGACCUUGAUGACUUAUUUGGAAAUAAAUCUGGGAAAGGAAUAUUUGAAUCACUCCAAAUUCUAGACUUAGCUUAUAGUAUUUUAGAUGGAUCGAUGCUAGACCUGAGAGCAUUUUCUCACUCCUUGAUCUCUCUAGAGCUAAUAUAGCAGAUGAAGCCCCAACAUGGUUGUGGAGUUUAUCCCCUUCGGUAGAAGCCAUAUAUCUUUUCGACAAUCAAAUUACCGGCACUGUUACGAAUCUCUCAUCCUCCAUCCGGUACAUAGAUCUUACUAACAAUAAUAUCUCAGGUCAUAUUCCAUUACUUCCUGCCAAUUUUGAAAUUAUUCAGUUGAGUGGAAAUAUAUUCUCUGGUUCAGUUUCAUCUAUUUGCAAAACUCGACAUGAUCAGCUUGUAUUCCUUGACAUCUCUAAUAAUCAGCUGGAUGGAGAGGUACCCAACUGCUGGGAGAAAAUGCCAAACUUGCAUUAUCUCAAUUUGGCUAACAGUUUUUUUGGUGAAAUUCCUCACUCUGUGGGGUCUCUACGUGAUCUCUUUGUACUGCAGUUGCGUGGUAAUAGGUUGUCUGGAGGGUUUCCUUCUAGUUUGGGACAUUGCCAAGGAUUGGAGCUUUUUGAUGUUGAAGGGAAUGAGUUAACAGGUGAGAUUCCCACUUGGAUUGGCCAGAUGUAUAAUAUGGAAUUUCUGAACCUUGGAAGAAAUAAUUUGGUUGGUAGUAUACCCGUUGAGAUAUGCAAUCUUACUUAUAUUAAAGUUCUAGACUUGUCUGUAAAUAACAUGUCUGGGAGAAUACCCGAUUGCUUCAACAAUUUUAAUUCACUGGCUCAAGAGAAUAUACCAGCUAAUACAAAUCGUAGGGGUUAUGUUUUGAAUUUCUACUACAGUGAUCAUCUUCCAAAUGUGGUUAUGCCAAAGUACUACGAUGCAUAUUUGUUGAUUCAGUGGAAGGGCCACGAAUCGGAAUACAGAAGAAAUCUUGUAAUUCUCAAACUCGUUGAUUUUUCAAGCAAUAGAUUGAGUGGUAACAUUCCCCAAUCAUUUUCCAGUAUGAGGGGAUUGAUUUCUUUGAAUCUAUCAUCGAAUAGUUUCACAGGAAAUAUAAUUCCAGAUAUUGGAGAGAUGUGGAUGUUAGAAUGUCUAGAUCUAUCUGCGAAUCGAUUGUCUGGGAAAAUACCCACGAGCUUGGCACAAUUACAAUAUUUGGCUGUUCUUGAUUUAUCAAACAACAAAUUCCACGGAAAAAUUCCAACGAGUACUCAACUUCAGAGCUUCAAUGCCACCGUGUAUGCUGGGAAUGAUGGACUAUGUGGCCCCCCUCUGGCAUUGUGCCCCGAGGAUAGCUUGAAGCCAUCCACCACUAAUCCGAUACAAAACACAGAUGAGAAAGGCAACAACCUAUCUUUUAUGCAAGAAGUUGGCAUAUCAAUGGCCUUUGGUUUUAUUUUCGGAUUCUGGGGAGUUAUUGGUUCUUUCAUACUAAAGAAAUCAUGGAGAUUUGCAUUCUUCAACUUCUUUGACGAUGUUGGGGAUUGGCUCUACGUUGGGACUCUUGUGCUUGUAUCCAAAUGGAGACGGACUUAAAAUAAGUUCCAGCAAAUGACGCUGAAAACGUUGAUUGUGUUGGAAGGAUUUGAAUUGUGGCGUCAAAUUCAUGUGAUGCUUGCGGAACAGGUUGAGGAAUCAAAGUCAUCAUUGUGCUAUGAUGUUCGGUGGACCAUCGGACAUCCUUUAAGUUACUAAAUUGCCCUUUUAUUUAUUUUUCAGGCCUUUUUUUUUGUAAUUUUGUUACUUCCUUUUGAAUCGGUAUGGUUUCAAACCACUUAUAAAUAAUGGAUUUCAUUGUUUUUCAAUCA